UGUAUGUACAGGCGUUGCGUCGUCAUGGAAACGCCGUUCCGGCACGUCUGACGCAACGACGUCAUGACGAGUUGGUCUUUUUUUGUUUUUGUUGCGCAGCAACCGUGUCCCGUGGCAACCUCUGGGCCGCACAAUGAGCGUUGUGUGAACGAGAUCUAAACGUCUUGCUAUAGUACGAGGAGUGCACUACAUGUGGCGGCACAAGUCUUUAUUUUCCACACCCUAUGUAGGGCGCUUGUGAAGGGAGUACGGAGUUAUUGAGUAUUCCGCCACGGACGGAUUAGCAGACACGGCGACUCGGAUUUCUCUCAUUACAGUUUGUUUCCCUUCACUGGAGCUAAGGGACCCAAACCUGUCCUGGCAUGACAAAGCGAGCUCCAUGAAGACAAAGUGUGCCAAGGUUAGAGUGGAAGAACUUGAAUGUCCUGCACAGAGCCUUGACCUCAACUCCAGUGAGCACGGGAACGCCGACUGCACCCCUGACCUCACUAAUGCUCUCGGGGAUGAAUGAACACAAAUCUCCACAGCAACACUACAAAAUGUAGUGGAUUAUUAUUAUAACAGCAACUCUCAACAGUUGACUCAACAGUCUCUCUCUCUCUCUCUCUAUAUAUAUUUUGAAAGGUUGGGGGUCCAAGGCCCAGCGCUGCCAAGCUGCCACUGUUGAGCCGUUGAGCAAGGCCCUUAGCCCUCUCUGCUCCAGGGGUACUGUAUCCUGGCUGACCCUGUGCUCUGACCCCAACUUCCUGGCAUGCUGGGGUAUGCGAAGAAAAUAAUGUCACUGUGCUGUGACCAAUAAAUACUCAUUAUCAUUAUAUAGGAGAAUGACUUCUAUACAUUCUUCUUUUGUUGAAGGCGUUUUUAAGGGCUGUCUGAAAAAAUAUUUAUAUGAUAUGAACUAUGUAUGAAAAAUUUGGGAAGAUAUUUCACAAUAAAGUGUUAAUUUCCCCUGUAUAUGGA
Long non-coding RNA from Ictalurus furcatus (blue catfish), 960 nucleotides. RefSeq lists it as uncharacterized. The record is from RefSeq and is a predicted model, not a curated record. The transcript is spliced from 2 exons. Lineage: Eukaryota; Metazoa; Chordata; Actinopteri; Siluriformes; Ictaluridae.